UGCGUGUGCGCGUGCGUGUGUGUGUGUGUGUGUGUGUGUGUGACUCUUGCCUCCCCAGCUCAGCGUCACACGCAACACG
Molecule: microRNA precursor, 79 nt
Filed under: Myotis lucifugus (little brown bat)
Lineage: Eukaryota; Metazoa; Chordata; Mammalia; Chiroptera; Vespertilionidae
Description: miRNA (ENSMLUG00000023171.1)
Source: RNAcentral